UACAGAGGGUGCGAGCGUUGUCCGGAAUUACUGGGCGUAAAGGGCGCGUAGGCGGCCUGAUAAGUCGGGGGCGAAAGUCAGCGGCUCAACCGCUGGACUGCCUUCGAGACUGUCGGGCUUGAGCAUGGUAGAGGCUGGCGGAAUUCCCGGUGUAGCGGUGGAAUGCGUAGAGAUCGGGAAGAACAUCGGUGGCGAAGGCGGCCAGCUGGGCCAUUGCUGACGCUGAGGCGCGACAGCGUGGGGAGCAAACAGG
This 253-nucleotide ribosomal RNA is filed under the name uncultured bacterium. Its description in RNAcentral is "partial 16S ribosomal RNA". It matches the Rfam family "Bacterial small subunit ribosomal RNA", at positions 524 to 776 of the family's 1533-position model. The record is from RNAcentral.